UGGGGAAUAUUGCACAAUGGGGGAAACCCUGAUGCAGCGACGCCGCGUGGGGGAUGACGGCCUUCGGGUUGUAAACCUCCUUCAGUAGGGAAGAAGCCUUCGGGUGACGGUACCUGCAGAAGAAGUACCGGCUAACUACGUGCCAGCAGCCGCGGUAAUACGUAGGGUACAAGCGUUGUCCGGAAUUAUUGGGCGUAAAGAGCUCGUAGGUGGUCUGUCACGUCUGCUGUGGAAACGCAAGGCUCAACCUUGCGCGUGCAGUGGGUACGGGCGGACUAGAGUGCAGUAGGGGAGUCUGGAAUUCCUGGUGUAGCGGUGAAAUGCGCAGAUAUCAGGAGGAACACCGGUGGCGAAGGCGGGACUCUGGGCUGUAACUGACGCUGAGGAGCGAAAGCAUGGGGAGCGAACAGGAUUAGAUACCCUGGUAGUCCAUGCCGUAAACGUUGGGCACUAGGUGCUGGGGUCCAUUCCACGGAUUCCGUGCGCCGUAGCUAAGCGCAUUAAGUGCCCCGCCUGGGGAGUACGG
This 526-nucleotide ribosomal RNA is filed under the name uncultured bacterium. RNAcentral describes it as "partial 16S ribosomal RNA". It matches the Rfam family "Bacterial small subunit ribosomal RNA", at positions 355 to 885 of the family's 1533-position model. The record is from RNAcentral.